UGGGGAAUAUUGGGCAAUGGGCGAAAGCCUGACCCAGCAACGCCGCGUGAAGGAAGAAGGUCUUCGGAUUGUAAACUUCUUUUAUGAGGGACGAAGGACGUGACGGUACCUCAUGAAUAAGCCACGGCUAACUACGUGCCAGCAGCCGCGGUAAUACGUAGGGGGCGAGCGUUGUCCGGAAUUACUGGGCGUAAAGGGUGCGUAGGCGGUACUUUAAGUUGGAUGUGAAAUCCCCGGGCUUAACCUGGGGCCUGCAUCCAAUACUGGAGAACUAGAGUGCAGGAGAGGGAAGCGGAAUUCCUAGUGUAGCGGUGAAAUGCGUAGAUAUUAGGAAGAACACCAGUGGCGAAGGCGGCUUUCUGGACUGUAACUGACGCUGAGGCACGAAAGCGUGGGGAGCAAACAGGAUUAGAUACCCUGGUAGU
RNAcentral lists this ribosomal RNA (425 nucleotides) under uncultured Clostridium sp. RNAcentral's name for it is "bacterial SSU rRNA". It matches the Rfam family "Bacterial small subunit ribosomal RNA", at positions 355 to 794 of the family's 1533-position model. Lineage: Bacteria; Bacillati; Bacillota; Clostridia; Eubacteriales; Clostridiaceae. The record is from RNAcentral.